AGUGAACGCUGGCGGUAGGCCUAACACAUGCAAGUCGAACGGCAGCACAGUAAGAGCUUGCUCUUACGGGUGGCGAGUGGCGGACGGGUGAGGAAUACAUCGGAAUCUACUUUUUCGUGGGGGAUAACGUAGGGAAACUUACGCUAAUACCGCAUACGACCUACGGGUGAAAGCAUGGGAUCUUCGGACCUUGCGCGAUUGAAUGAGCCGAUGUCGGAUUAGCUAGUUGGCGGGGUAAAGGCCCACCAAGGCGACGAUCCGUAGCUGGUCUGAGAGGAUGAUCAGACACACUGGAACUGAGACACGGUCCAGACUCCUACGGGAGGCAGCAGUGGGGAAUAUUGGACAAUGGGCGAAAGCCUGAUCCAGCCAUACCGCGUGGGUGAAGAAGGCCUUCGGGUUGUAAAGCCCUUUUGUUGGGAAAGAAAAGCAGCAGGUUAAUACCCCGCUGUUCUGACGGUACCCAAAGAAUAAGCACCGGCUAACUUCGUG
This 492-nucleotide ribosomal RNA is filed under the name uncultured bacterium. Its description in RNAcentral is "partial 16S ribosomal RNA". It matches the Rfam family "Bacterial small subunit ribosomal RNA", at positions 29 to 507 of the family's 1533-position model. The record is from RNAcentral.